GUAAAUAGUACUGGCCGGCGGGGGCGUGGCACCCUGGGACGGCCUCCACCUGGACGGGGACGGAACCCAGGUGGGGGCACCCUGCGGCCUGCAGCCUCCCUGCCUCACAUUGCUAAGACUCAAAGGGAUGCAGGCCAUAUUGCCAGCAAGAGCCCCUGCAUGUUGGUGGCCCUGCGGCCAACCAACAUGGACCGUGAGCGAGACAAGUUCUUCCAGUCCCAUUACACCUACAAUCCACAGUUUGAGUACCAGGAGCCCAUGCCCACGGCUGUGCUGGAGAAGUACUGCGAGGCCUCUGGACAGUUCAUCCAUCAGGCAGUUGGCAUCAUUGAGGCUGUUCUGGAGAAGUUUGGAACCUAUGAACACUUUGAGGCUGCCACUGGGGGGCAGCUGCUCACCAAGUGCCAGAUAUGGUCGAUUGUGCGCAAAUACAUGCAGAAGGAGGGCUGCGUCGGGGAGGUUGUGGUGCAGCUGAGUGAGGACCUGCUGUCCCAGGCAGUGAUGAUGGUGGAGAACAGCCGGCCCACAUUGGCGAUCAACCUGACCGGAGCCCGCCAGUACUGGUUGGAGGGCAUGUUGCGGCAUGAGAUAGGUCAGGGUGUGGGUAUCCGGGAAGAUGGGCACCCACUACCUGCGGGGCGUGAACAACGCGCGCCAGCCGUGGCACAACGCGGAGGGCC
RNAcentral lists this small RNA (680 nucleotides) under Pongo abelii (Sumatran orangutan). Its description in RNAcentral is "processed transcript". Lineage: Eukaryota; Metazoa; Chordata; Mammalia; Primates; Hominidae. The record is from RNAcentral.